UUUAUUUUAUUUAUUUCCCGCAUCGGUUUUAUUUUAUUUAUUUCCCGCAUCGCUUUUAUUUUAUUUAUUUCCCGUAUCGCUUUACUUUAUUUAUUUUCCACACUCGCUUUACUUUAUUUAUUUUCCGCACUCGCUUUACUUUAUUUAUCUUAUGCAUUUUACUCGCUUUUAACGCCUCACAUUCUAAAACAAACUUUUCAUCAUGAUUAAUAUC
Molecule: long non-coding RNA, 214 nt
Filed under: Lathyrus oleraceus (garden pea)
Lineage: Eukaryota; Viridiplantae; Streptophyta; Magnoliopsida; Fabales; Fabaceae
Description: Pisum sativum (pea) long non-coding RNA (PSAT_LNC024656)
Source: RNAcentral